RNAcentral lists this ribosomal RNA (461 nucleotides) under uncultured bacterium. Its description in RNAcentral is "bacterial SSU rRNA". It matches the Rfam family "Bacterial small subunit ribosomal RNA", at positions 56 to 513 of the family's 1533-position model. The record is from RNAcentral.
UGCAGUCGAGCGGAUGAAUGGAGCUUGCUCCAUGAUUCAGCGGCGGACGGGUGAGUAAUGCCUAGGAAUCUGCCUGGUAGUGGGGGACAACGUUUCGAAAGGAACGCUAAUACCGCAUACGUCCUACGGGAGAAAGUGGGGGAUCUUCGGACCUCACGCUAUCAGAUGAGCCUAGGUCGGAUUAGCUAGUUGGCGAGGUAAAGGCUCACCAAGGCGACGAUCCGUAACUGGUCUGAGAGGAUGAUCAGUCACACUGGAACUGAGACACGGUCCAGACUCCUACGGGAGGCAGCAGUGGGGAAUAUUGGACAAUGGGCGAAAGCCUGAUCCAGCCAUGCCGCGUGUGUGAAGAAGGUCUUCGGAUUGUAAAGCACUUUAAGUUGGGAGGAAGGGCAGUAAGUUAAUACCUUGCUGUUUUGACGUUACCGACAGAAUAAGCACCGGCUAGCUUCGUGCCAGCA